AGUGAACGCUGGCGGUAGGCCUAACACAUGCAAGUCGAACGGCAGCACAGUAAGAGCUUGCUCUUACGGGUGGCGAGUGGCGGACGGGUGAGGAAUACAUCGGAAUCUACUUUUUCGUGGGGGAUAACGUAGGGAAACUUACGCUAAUACCGCAUACGACCUACGGGUGAAAGCAGGGGAUCUUCGGACCUUGCGCGAUUGAAUGAGCCGAUGUCGGAUUAGCUAGUUGGCGGGGUAAAGGCCCACCAAGGCGACGAUCCGUAGCUGGUCUGAGAGGAUGAUCAGCCACACUGGAACUGCGACACGGCCCAGACUCCUACGGGAGGCAGCAGUGGGGAAUAUUGGACAAUGGGCGCAAGCCUGAUCCAGCCAUACCGCGUGGGUGAAGAAGGCCUUCGGGUUGUAAAGCCCUUUUGUUGGGAAAGAAAAGCAGCAGGUUAAUACCCCGCUGUUCUGACGGUACCCAAAGAAUAAGCACCGGCUAACUUCGUG
RNAcentral lists this ribosomal RNA (492 nucleotides) under uncultured bacterium. RNAcentral's name for it is "partial 16S ribosomal RNA". It matches the Rfam family "Bacterial small subunit ribosomal RNA", at positions 29 to 507 of the family's 1533-position model. The record is from RNAcentral.